This is a small nucleolar RNA of Acomys russatus (golden spiny mouse), 127 nucleotides long. RefSeq annotates it as small nucleolar RNA SNORA17. NCBI's taxonomy places the organism in Eukaryota, Metazoa, Chordata, Mammalia, Rodentia, Muridae. The record is from RefSeq and is a predicted model, not a curated record. The transcript has a single exon.
CCUGCCGCUAGAGGCACUGCAAGUGUGGCUGCUAUGUCACACGGGCAUCAGUAGGUGGCAGAGAGGAGAGCGUGUAGGCACAAGUGUUCUGACCUGUGAACAUCUGAAGGACUAGUAGCCUAAUAUU